CAGCCGCCGCGGGAAAACGUAGGGUGCAAGCGUUAAUCGGAAUUACUGGGCGUAAAGCGUGCGCAGGCGGUUAUAUAAGACAGAUGUGAAAUCCCCGGGCUCAACCUGGGAACUGCAUUUGUGACUGUAUAGCUAGAGUACGGCAGAGGGGGAUGGAAUUCCGCGUGUAGCAGUGAAAUGCGUAGAUAUGCGGAGGAACACCGAUGGCGAAGGCAAUCCCCUGGGCCUGUACUGACGCUCAUGCACUAAAGCGUGGGGAGCAAACAGGAUUAGAUACCCCGGUAGUCCCUGUCUCUUAUAC
Molecule: ribosomal RNA, 301 nt
Filed under: uncultured bacterium
Lineage: Bacteria
Description: partial 16S ribosomal RNA
Rfam family: Bacterial small subunit ribosomal RNA
Source: RNAcentral